This 491-nucleotide ribosomal RNA is filed under the name uncultured bacterium. RNAcentral's name for it is "partial 16S ribosomal RNA". It matches the Rfam family "Bacterial small subunit ribosomal RNA", at positions 29 to 507 of the family's 1533-position model. The record is from RNAcentral.
AUGAACGCUAGCUACAGGCUUAACACAUGCAAGUCGCGGGGAAACGACAUCGAAAGCUUGCUUUUGAUGGGCGUCGACCGGCGCACGGGUGAGUAACGCGUAUCCAACCUGCCCAUCACUUGGGGAUAACCUUGCGAAAGUAAGACUAAUACCCAAUGAUAUCUCUAGAAGACAUCUGAAAGAGAUUAAAGAUUUAUCGGUGAUGGAUGGGGAUGCGUCUGAUUAGCUUGUUGGCGGGGUAACGGCCCACCAAGGCAACGAUCAGUAGGGGUUCUGAGAGGAAGGUCCCCCACAUUGGAACUGAGACACGGUCCAAACUCCUACGGGAGGCAGCAGUGAGGAAUAUUGGUCAAUGGGCGAGAGCCUGAACCAGCCAAGUAGCGUGCAGGAAGACGGCCCUAUGGGUUGUAAACUGCUUUUAUAAGGGAAUAAAGUGAGAGUCGUGACUCUUUUUGUAUGUACCUUAUGAAUAAGGACCGGCUAAUUCCGUG